UGAGGAAUAUUGGACAAUGGGCGCAAGCCUGAUCCAGCCAUGCCGCGUGCAGGAUGAAGCAUCUAUGGUGUGUAAACUGCUUUUAUACGAGAAGAAACACUCCUUCGUGAAGGAGCUUGACGGUAUCGUAAGAAUAAGGACCGGCUAACUCCGUGCCAGCAGCCGCGGUAAUACGGAGGGUCCAAGCGUUAUCCGGAAUCAUUGGGUUUAAAGGGUCCGUAGGCGGUUUGAUAAGUCAGUGGUGAAAUCUUUCGGCUCAACCGAGAAAUGGCCAUUGAUACUGUCAGACUUGAAUUAUUAGGAAGUAACUAGAAUAUGUAGUGUAGCGGUGAAAUGCUUAGAGAUUACAUGGAAUACCAAUUGCGAAGGCAGGUUACUACUAAUGGAUUGACGCUGAUGGACGAAAGCGUGGGUAGCGAACAG
RNAcentral lists this ribosomal RNA (423 nucleotides) under uncultured bacterium. RNAcentral describes it as "bacterial SSU rRNA". It matches the Rfam family "Bacterial small subunit ribosomal RNA", at positions 355 to 775 of the family's 1533-position model. The record is from RNAcentral.